AAGUGACUGGCUGAAGGCUAUUAAGCUGUGACAGAUGCCAUGGUGAUGAAUUGGGCUGGGGGGGGGGGGUAUGUGUGUGAAAGAAGGAUCUCCUGGAAACAGACACAGCAUCAUGAAGGAGAGAGGGGGAACCAAGCCUCCCUUCAGAUCCCUGCACAACUGAGCGACCCACCGGACUUGGGCUGGAGAUGCAAAGACCAGAGGCCGCUGCUCUCUCUGUAUCAGCAGGCGUGUUGUCCGCCUCCAUCCCCGCCGCUCCAGCAGGUAGGUAGCUGCUCCCCCUGGCCUGCCCCCUAGCUGCAUGGAUUGCCGUAGGGCUGGAGGGGGCUGGGCUACCAGCUGCUGCCCUUUCACACCCGCUUUAAAGCCCGUCAAAAGAGGUGGGGGGGAGAGAGGCGAAGAUCUGAUCCCCGUUUAGCUGGCUUCGGAGGGAGAAGAGUCGACUCGGAGCUGUAGCCCGGGGAUGUGUGGCAUCCGCUUGGGCUCCUUUGAGCUGGAGAAUCAGCUGGGAAGCGGGGGCAGUUUAUUUCAUACCUUGAUCUUACAAAGAAGAACCCACGGACAUGCAGGUAACCCUGCCCCCUUUGUUUUCCCAUUUGCCAAAGGAAGAGAGGCAUGUAGAGAUAUGUGUAGGGCUGGGGUUUGUGGCAUUGGCUAGUGUCAGUCCUGGGGCACAAGGAGUGGGCAUUGGAAUGAUCUUUCUUCUUUUGCUGUCCCUUUUCAUCUCCAGUUUGUCAUAAAGGAAUCCUGCCUUUGUCUCCUAAAAGAAUUAGGCACCUAUUCCAUCUGAGCUGGGCAUCUAACUCCCUUAGGCUCCUUUGAAAUCCUAGCAGAUUAAUGGCCAAAUUUGCAUAGACUUUCCCUCUGCUUCUUGCAACCUAUUAGUAAGAGAAAAGACUUUAAUAACUGAUCAGGGAGGGGGUGGCAAAGUGCAUCUGAACUGAUUUUGCCUGAGGGGUAAAGUAAAUAGGAGGCUAAGAUCAGAGUGGUGUCAAGUUUGUAUUAAUAAUGCAAAUAUUUGAACCAAACAUAGUCCGGAGUUCCCAUUUCCUUAAAACUUUCCUUCUUAGGGAAGAUUGGAAAUAACGGAGGAAUUGUUUGCAAAGCCAGGUGAAAAGGGCCUUCUUGGUGAAGGACAAAUACAAUGUUGCUUCUCUUUUUUUUUCCAAGGGGGAUUUAUGCAUCUGUCUCUUUGUGGGGUCCUUGACCAGGGCUGUGUUGGUCGUUUUUAUGGGACGUUUAUAUUAAAGGCAUGGAAGUUCAAGCAGACAAUGUAACUAGAGUUCUCGAGUCCCCA
Molecule: long non-coding RNA, 1297 nt
Filed under: Chrysemys picta bellii (western painted turtle)
Lineage: Eukaryota; Metazoa; Chordata; Testudines; Emydidae
Description: lncRNA (ENSCPBG00000021066.1)
Source: RNAcentral